Molecule: ribosomal RNA, 417 nt
Filed under: Syntrophaceae bacterium
Lineage: Bacteria; Pseudomonadati; Thermodesulfobacteriota; Syntrophia; Syntrophales; Syntrophaceae
Description: bacterial SSU rRNA
Rfam family: Bacterial small subunit ribosomal RNA
Source: RNAcentral
AAACUGGAGAGUUUGAUCCUGGCUCAGAACUAACGCUAGCGGCGUGCCUAACACAUGCAAGUCGUACGAGAAAGUCGGCUUCGGUCGGCGAGUAAAGUGGCGCACGGGUGAGUAACGCGUGGAUAAUCUACCCUUGAGUUGGGAAUAACGUGCCGAAAGGUGCGCUAAUACCGAAUAAUACUGAGUGACUAAUGUUGCUUAGUCAAAGAAGGCCUCUGCUUGCAAGCUUUCGCUGAAGGAUGAGUCCGCGUACCAUUAGCUAGUUGGUAGGGUAAUGGCCUACCAAGGCAACGAUGGUUAGCUGGUCUGAGAGGAUGAUCAGCCACACUGGAACUGAGACACGGUCCAGACUCCUACGGGAGGCAGCAGUGAGGAAUAUUGCGCAAUGGGGGCAACCCUGACGCAGCAACGCCGCGU